Molecule: long non-coding RNA, 985 nt
Filed under: Equus caballus (horse)
Lineage: Eukaryota; Metazoa; Chordata; Mammalia; Perissodactyla; Equidae
Description: lncRNA (ENSECAG00000041199.2)
Source: RNAcentral
CAGUGAACCUCGCCGGGGGCCGCCGCUAGACCCGCCCCUCUAGCCAGCCUGGCCCCGCCCCGGCCCGUCCCCUCUCGCCCCUCCGCCUCCUCGGCCCGCCCCCGGCCUCCGCCCCGUUCCGGGCGCUCGGAGCCCCGCCCCGGGCACGUACAGCUGCGAGACAGGCACGUACUAUUUAAAUAAUGGCGCCAAGCGGGGAGAUUUGACAGUUACUCCCCCCUAGGCCUCCCCGCCCCCCAUCGUCGCCCGGCCAGCGCCUCCAGGGACCGGCCGGAGCGAGAGGGCUGCUGGCCUGAGCCCCGCCCCUCCGCGGCCUGCGGAACCCUUCUGCAAAGCUUGGAUGCCUGCAGUCACAGGAACGAUAAUACCCCUUCCCCCAAGCAGCAAGUCCUUUUCGGCACCUGCUACCUGCGAGGCUACACGUGGGCUAAAAAUAACAAUCCAUUACAUUUAAGGAUCACCUGACGAAGUGUUUCCAGGUCUCUUAGCUCAGAUCCUCCUCAUGACAACGCGGUGAGUUCCCUAGGGAUUAUCCACAACGUUGUUGCCUGUGCCCAGGGGGGCCGCUCACCCCGGUUCUUGGUUCACCACCAUCACUCCUGCAACAUCCAACACUGCUGGUUUUAAGAGACCCUGAAGGCCUGCGACUGCCCACAGUGACUUGCCCUUUACCUCUUUUUUGCUUCAUUAUUUUCUACUUUUGGUCACAGAUGAAUCUGGGGGAGAUAACGUUUGCUUUGCUGUAAUUCAUCAAUUCUGGGACUCCGAGGGACUAUUCCACGCAGGAGCUUGGUGAGGGAGGUGUCAUCAUCCCAUCCUAGAGAUUGAGAGAGAGUGCCAAGAAGUUAAACCCUUCAUCCCAGGCAUCUGGGUUUGCAACUACUCUUCCAAACCCACGAGGAAGAAGAGAAACAUUUUCCUAAUUGUCCCCUAAUUUGGAAGUCUGCUUCUCUCUCAGUGGAGUUUGUCCUGCACAUUAUUACUG